Long non-coding RNA from Leopardus geoffroyi (Geoffroy's cat), 1862 nucleotides. RefSeq lists it as uncharacterized. Lineage: Eukaryota; Metazoa; Chordata; Mammalia; Carnivora; Felidae. The transcript is spliced from 2 exons. The record is from RefSeq and is a predicted model, not a curated record.
GAGCUCGCUCUGGUUCGCGGAAUCCUCCUGAACCGCCCGCGGAGGCUCGAGCCUUGCGCCGUUUCUCUCCCAAAGUCUAUUUUGGAAAGUAGUGUCGGGAAUGGGACAGGUUCUUUGAUUUAGGGAUGAAGGUGGUUUCCUCACUAUCGAGUCACCCCCUCCAAAAUACUGCAGAAGGUGGACGGACCCAGUUGGCGGCACAUCUCGAAACCCGCGGGGGAGGCCGUGUUGGACGAAGGGCUGCUUCGGGGAAGGAAUCCCCCUUCCGCCAGCAGAGGACCCGUCCGCGGCGUGAAGGCUUCUGGGAAAUGUAGUCCAAGAGUCGAUUAGGGCCUGCUCCGAGUCCCAGGAGCCCCUCUUCAAGCUGCCGGAUCGCCUCGAACCUUAUAAACCCAGUACUUGCAACGGUUGCGCGGCCGUUCCAAAUUGGUUUUGUAAUUAGCCCUCAUACAAAACACUUUGUGAAGCUGCGGAGGGCCCAGGGCUGUCCACUACUCUUCCUUCCUCUACGCACCCCCACCCCCGAGCAGGAUGAGGUAAUGGGGUUGUGAUUAUGACAUCAUAGGCGGUUCAGUUGCUUGCGGGGGUGGGUUGGUGGGGGGGGGAGGGAAGGAGUAUGGUGGUUACAGCUGGACCACUUAAGACAGGGAGGGAGGAAACAGGCAGCUGGAGAAAAGAUGUUCAUGUCCGUAUAUUUCCUCUUUAGGAACAGGAUACCACCCUUUAUUAAAUCUCCACCACUACCACCAUCUCCCACCUCAGCCAAAGUUUAAGUCUUUUUUCGAAAAGACUGCAUGUAGACGUUAGUAGGGAAGAGGCUGAGGAACAGCUAAAUGGUUCCUGACUUUCAUGUAAAUUCGAGGCUCAGCUAUCAAAAAAGGUUUAGAAAGAAAGGCAAAAAGAAAAAGAGGCUUUAAACAAUGCCUUCGUGUUGCCAUCUUUUUGUACAGGAGUUUUAGAUUUCUUUUUUAAUCGAUUGGGAAGUAGCAGUAAUGCAAAUAAUCUUCACUAUUACAACUAUUACACUAUUACAACUUAGCAGCAAGUCCCUUGAAAGACGUCUGUUUUCUCUAAAUAUUUUGUGCCCCACUCAAGUCUAGGACAGAUAUGUAACUGAUCAGCUACAAAGUAGCACCAGUGGUGGGGAUCUUCCUCACAGAGCCAGGGGAGGGAGUAGGCAGGAGCCACCAAGUCUGCAAACUGAAAAAGAAGAGUGAAGAGAAAGUGAGAUUUAUCAAGAAAAUAGGGGUGGAGGAAGAUAGAUGCACUGCAUAUUCCCUUGCCCUGCACAUUUCCCCUUGGCAAAAGAGGGAACAAGGCCAUGAAGUAUAGGAGACAUGGUUUCCAGUAAUUACUGUUGUGGAGCACUUAUUAUGUACCAGACACCGUGCUACAUACUUUAAAAAAGUAUUCUCAUUUUUGCUUAGAAUCAUGAAAUGAGCAAAUGUCUCUAUUUGACAGAUGAAAUGGUUGGAAAGAUUAAGUGACUGCCCAUCUGGUAGGCAAAGGUAAUAUUACAGAGCAGUCCUUGAUGCUUUAAAGUCCUUGGUCUUCACCACUUGAUGAUCCUCCUUUUUUUAUUAUGUAUUAUCCUUUUAUAAUUUUGUUAUUAUCCUUUUAUUAUUAACAAUGCUUUAAUAAAGUUCAAUGAUUGAGAUUAAGAAGUUAGCAUUGGCUCAUAUGCAAAACAUUUAUAAAAUGAGACACUUGAAAAAAACAAACAUCCAAAUCCUCCAUGUCAGGUUUCAGGCCUCAACUCCAAGGAAGAUUAUACCCCUUUCAUCAAGUAUAAGAGAGCCCCCAGUGCAGCCCAACUUCCCUGCCAUUACUAACUAUAAUUAAAUCUCCUUAUGCCACCUUUA